AGUUCGAACGCUCCGCACCUGGGAGUUGGCACACGGGUGAGUAACUCGUGGGGAUGUGCCUUGAGGUGGGGAAUAACUGUGGGAAACUACAGCUAAUACCGCAUACGCCCUUUUUGGGGAAAGAUUUAUCGCCUUUAGAGCAACCCGCGUCGGAUUAUCUAGUUGGUAGGGUAAUGGCCUACCAAGGCGACGAUCUGUAGCUGGUCUGAGAGGAUGACCAACCACACUGGGACUGAGACACGGCCCAGACUCCUACCGGAGGCAGCCUUGGGGAAUAUUGGACAAUGGGCGCAAGCCUGAUCCAGCCAUGCCGCGUGAGUGAUGACAGCCUUAAGGUUGUAAAGCUCUUUUAACAAGGACGAUAAUGACGGUACCUGUAGAAUAAGCCCCGGCAAACUUCGUGCCAACAGCCGCGGUAAUACAAAGGGGGCUAGCGUUGUUCGGAAUUACUGGGCGUAAAGCGCACGUAGGCGGAUUGUUAAGUCUGGGGUGAAAUCCUGACGCUCAACCUCAUAACUGCCUUCGAUACUGGCGAUCUUGACUUCAGAAUACGUUGGUGGAACAUCUAGUGUAAAGGUGAAAUUCUUAGAUAUUAUCUAGAACACCAGUGGCCAAUGCGGCCAACUGAUCCGAUACUGACCCUGAGGUGCGAAAGCGUGAGGAGCAAACGUGAUUAGAUACCCUGGUAGUCCACGCCGUAAACGAUGAAUGCCAGCCGUCCGGGAGCUUGCUCUUCUGUGGCGCAGCUAACGCUUUAAGCAUUCCGCCUGGGGAGUACGGUCGCAAGAUUAAAACUCAAAUGAAUUGACGGGGGCCCGCACAAGCGGUGGAGCAUGUGGUUUAAUUUGAAGCAACGCGCAGAACCUUACCAGCCCUUGACAUCCCGGUCGCGGAUCACAGAGAUGAGAUCUUUCAGUUGGGGUGGACCGGAGACAGGUGCUGCAUGGUUGUCGUCAGCUGGUGUCGUGAGAUGUUGGGUUAAGUCCCGCAACGAGCGCAACCCUCGCCCCUAGUUGCCAGCAUUAAGUUGGGCAUUAUAGGGGGACUGCCGGUGAUAAGCCGCGAGGAAGGUGGGGAUGACGUCAAGUCCUCAUGGCCCUUACGGGCUGGGCUACACACGUGCUACAAUGGCGGUGACAGUGGGAAGCGAAGGGGUGACCCCUAGCAAAUCUCCAAAAGCCGUCUCAGUUCAGAUUGCACUCUGCAACUCGAGUGCAUGAAGGUGGAAUGGUUAGUAAUCGCAGAUCAGCAUGCUGCGGUGAAUACGUUCCCGGGCCUUGUACACACCGCCCGUCAGUUGGUUUUCACCCUGAAAGGACGGACAUGCCGUUCCCCU
RNAcentral lists this ribosomal RNA (1336 nucleotides) under Labrys sp. (in: a-proteobacteria). Its description in RNAcentral is "bacterial SSU rRNA". It matches the Rfam family "Bacterial small subunit ribosomal RNA". The record is from RNAcentral. Lineage: Bacteria; Pseudomonadati; Pseudomonadota; Alphaproteobacteria; Hyphomicrobiales; Xanthobacteraceae.